RNAcentral lists this ribosomal RNA (611 nucleotides) under Abroscelis anchoralis. RNAcentral describes it as "Cicindela anchoralis partial 16S ribosomal RNA". It matches the Rfam family "Bacterial large subunit ribosomal RNA", at positions 1845 to 2757 of the family's 2925-position model. Lineage: Eukaryota; Metazoa; Arthropoda; Insecta; Coleoptera; Carabidae. The record is from RNAcentral.
UUAAGGUCURRCCUGCCCAAUGAGGAUUUAAAUGGCCGCAGUAUUUUGACUGUGCAAAGGUAGCAUAAUUAUUAGUUUUUUAAUUGAAAGCUCGUAUGAAUGGUUGGACGAAAUAAAUUCUGUCUUUAUUUAAAUUAAAAUAAAAUUUAACUUUUGAGUCAAAAGGCUUAAAUAAUUAUAAAAGACGAGAAGACCCUAUAGAUCUUUAUUUAGUUAAGAUUUUGAUAAUUUAAGAUUAUUUUAAUAUAAAAUUUUAACUUAAUUUUGUUGGGGUAAUGUAAAGAUUUAAUAAAUUCUUUUUAUUAAUAACAUUAAUUUAUGUAUAUAUGAUCCAGUAAUAUUGAUUAUAAGAUUAAGUUACCUUAGGGAUAACAGCGUAAUUUUUUUGGAGAGCUCAUAUCGAUAAGAAAGUUUGCGACCUCGAUGUUGGAUUAAAAAUUAGCUUGGGUGCAGAAGCUCAAGAUUUUGGUCUGUUCGACCAUUAAAUUUUUACAUGAUCUGAGUUCAGACCGGCGUAAGCCAGGUCGGUUUCUAUCUUUAUUAAAAUAAAAUAUUUUAGUACGAAAGGACCAAGUAUUUAAUAUAAUUAUAUUUAAUUUUUGAAUAAUAUU